This 378-nucleotide unclassified non-coding RNA is filed under the name plant metagenome. RNAcentral describes it as "partial contains 5.8S ribosomal RNA, internal transcribed spacer 2, and large subunit ribosomal RNA". The stretch from base 1 to 105 matches the Rfam family "5.8S ribosomal RNA", at positions 50 to 154 of the family's 154-position model. The record is from RNAcentral.
GAAAUGCGAUAAGUAAUGUGAAUUGCAGAAUUCAGGGAAUCAUCGAAUCUUUGAACGCAUCUUGCGCUCCUUGGUAUUCCUUGGAGCAUGCCUGUUUGAGUAUCAUGAAAUCUUCAAAGUAAAUCUUUUGUUAACUCAAUUGGUUUCUACUUUGGUAUUGGAGGUCUUUGCAGCUUCACACCUGCUCCUCUUUGUUCAUUAGCUGGAUCUCAGUGUUAUGCUUGGUUCCACUCGGCGUGAUAAGUUAUCUAUCGCUGAGGACACUGUAAAAGGUGGCCAAGGUAAAUGCAGAUGAACCGCUUCUAAUAGUCCAUUGACUUGGACAAUACUUUUAUGAUCUGAUCUCAAAUCAGGUAGGACUACCCGCUGAACUUAAGA